This 460-nucleotide ribosomal RNA is filed under the name uncultured bacterium. Its description in RNAcentral is "SSU rRNA". It matches the Rfam family "Bacterial small subunit ribosomal RNA", at positions 26 to 518 of the family's 1533-position model. The record is from RNAcentral.
AGAAUCAACGCUGGCGGCGUGCCUAACACAUGCAAGUCGAACGAGAAAGGGUAGCAAUACCUGAGUAAAGUGGCGCACGGGUGAGUAACACGUGACUAACCUACCCUGGAGUGGGGGAUAACUGAGGGAAACCUUAGCUAAUACCGCAUAACACCUACGGGUCAAAGGAGCAAUUCGCUUCAGGAGGGGGUCGCGGCCGAUUAGUUAGUUGGCGGGGUAAUGGCCCACCAAGACAGUGAUCGGUAUCCGGCCUGAGAGGGCGCACGGACACACUGGAACUGAAACACGGUCCAGACUCCUACGGGAGGCAGCAGUGGGGAAUUUUGCGCAAUGGGGAACCCUGACGCAGCAACGCCGCGUGGAGGAUGAAGUCCUCGGGACGUAAACUCCUUUCGAUCGGGACGAUAAUGACGGUACCGGAAGAAGAAGCCCCGGACUAACGUUCGCGCCAGCAGGCCGC